RNAcentral lists this transfer RNA (74 nucleotides) under Allostella humosa. Its description in RNAcentral is "Stella humosa tRNA". It matches the Rfam family "tRNA". From Rfam's summary of the family: Transfer RNA (tRNA) molecules are approximately 80 nucleotides in length. Lineage: Bacteria; Pseudomonadati; Pseudomonadota; Alphaproteobacteria; Rhodospirillales; Allostellaceae. The record is from Rfam by way of RNAcentral.
GCGCCCUUAGCUCAGUUGGAUAGAGCACGCGCCUUCUAAGCGCGGGGUCGCUGGUUCGAGUCCAGCAGGGCGCG